RNAcentral lists this unclassified non-coding RNA (254 nucleotides) under uncultured fungus. Its description in RNAcentral is "sequence contains ITS1". The stretch from base 1 to 98 matches the Rfam family "5.8S ribosomal RNA", at positions 49 to 154 of the family's 154-position model. Lineage: Eukaryota; Fungi. The record is from RNAcentral.
UGAAUUGCGAUAAUUAAUGUGAAUUGCAUAAAUCUGUGAAUCAUCUAGUUUUUGAACGCACAUUGCAUCCUGUGAGGGAUAUGAGUGAUUGAGGAUUGGUCGUAGAUAAUAAUUUGAUUUGGCGAGUCGACAUAAUUGAUUGUGUCGUUCGCUGAAAUAUCACAAGUGUUAUUCGGUGCGAUGAAAUAUUACACUAUAUACACAUACACACACAUACACAAUCUCAGUCACUCAAGAGUACCCGCUGAACUUAA